AAAGGGAGACCUAAUUCGGGUAGAAGACGAAAAAAAAAGUAGUCGCUACCAAGAAUCAAUCCCAAAAGGUCGGAGCGAGGCAUGAGGCUUUCAAACUAGGUUCUGGGUUCAUAAAAGACCUGAAUCAGGAACAAGGGCUAUUAGCUCAGGUGGUUAGAGCGCACCCCUGAUAAGGGUGAGGUCCCUGGUUCGAGUCCAGGAUGGCCCACCUGCACAGGUGGCAAAAACAAGAGAAGCGAGGAAUCAGCACCUUAUCUUAUUUAUAUAUAAGAGAGAAUGCUGGCUCUGAGUACAGAGUCCAGAGGAACCUUGAAAACUGCAUAGAGCUAGGUGAAAAAGCCAAAAAAGAAGACCGCAAG
This 359-nucleotide transfer RNA is filed under the name uncultured Microcystis sp. RNAcentral's name for it is "partial 16S-23S ribosomal RNA intergenic spacer". The stretch from base 135 to 208 matches the Rfam family "tRNA". Lineage: Bacteria; Bacillati; Cyanobacteriota; Cyanophyceae; Chroococcales; Microcystaceae. The record is from RNAcentral.